RNAcentral lists this ribosomal RNA (497 nucleotides) under uncultured bacterium. RNAcentral describes it as "partial 16S ribosomal RNA". It matches the Rfam family "Bacterial small subunit ribosomal RNA", at positions 28 to 507 of the family's 1533-position model. The record is from RNAcentral.
GAUGAACGCUGGCGGCGUGCCUAAUACAUGCAAGUCGAGCGAACAGACGAGGAGCUUGCUCCUCUGACGUUAGCGGCGGACGGGUGAGUAACACGUGGAUAACCUACCUAUAAGACUGGGAUAAAUUCGGGAAACCGGAGCUAAUACCGGAUAAUAUAUUGAACCGCAUGGUUCAAUAGUGAAAGACGGUUUUGCUGUCACUUAUAGAUGGAUCCGCGCCGCAUUAGCUAGUUGGUAAGGUAACGGCUUACCAGGGCAACGAUGCGUAGCCGACCUGAGAGGGUGAUCGGCCACACUGGAACUGAGACACGGUCCAGACUCCUACGGGAGGCAGCAGUAGGGAAUCUUCCGCAAUGGGCGAAAGCCUGACGGAGCAACGCCGCGUGAGUGAUGAAGGUCUUCGGAUCUUAAAACUCUGUUAUUAGGGAAGAACAAAUGUGUAAGUAACUAUGCACGUCUUGACGGUACCUAUUCAGAAAGCCACGGCUAACUACGUG